RNAcentral lists this ribosomal RNA (693 nucleotides) under Coprinopsis cortinata. Its description in RNAcentral is "eukaryotic LSU rRNA". The stretch from base 294 to 447 matches the Rfam family "5.8S ribosomal RNA". The record is from RNAcentral. Lineage: Eukaryota; Fungi; Basidiomycota; Agaricomycetes; Agaricales; Psathyrellaceae.
AAAAGUCGUAACAAGGUUUCCGUAGGUGAACCUGCGGAAGGAUCAUUAUAGAAUAAAUCUGACAAGGUUGUAGCUGGCUCUCAGGAGUAUGUGCACACCUUGUCACCUUUAUCUCUCUCCCCUGUGCACCCAUUGUAGAUCUGGAUAACUCUCGCUGAAAAGCGGAUGCAGAGAUUGCUGCUGUCUCCUAACCUGAGGCCAGCUUUCUUUGAAUUUCCAGGUCUACGAUUCUAUAUACCCCAAACGAAUGUCUUUGAAUGUUUUUGUAUGGCCUUGUGCCUAUAAAUCAAUACAACUUUCAGCAACGGAUCUCUUGGCUCUCGCAUCGAUGAAGAACGCAGCGAAAUGCGAUAAGUAAUGUGAAUUGCAGAAUUCAGUGAAUCAUCGAAUCUUUGAACGCACCUUGCGCUCCUUGGUAAUCCGAGGAGCAUGCCUGUUUGAGUGUCAUUAAAUUCUCAACCUUACCAGCUUGUAAUAGAGCUGUUGUUAAGGCUUGGAUAUUGGGGGCUUGCAGGUCCAAUUCUAUUGGUCUGCUCCUCUGAAAUAAAUUAGCAGGUCAGGCUCCUGUCUAUUGGUGUGAUAAUUAUCUACACCGUGGAUGCGAUGCAACUAUUGAUCAGCUUCCAAUCGUCCAUCUGGACAACUCUGACAAUUUUGACCUCAAAUCAGGUAAGACUACCCGCUGAACUUAAG